GUUUCAGAAUCACUGGACCAUUAGACCACAUCAGCACUGGACCCAGCUAAAGGGCAGAGAUUCAGAGAUCCCCAACUGUGACUAGUUGUGCAAGAAGCAUGCAGAAUGAUGAGAAACCUACAGCUCAGAAAAGAAACAAAUCGUCUAUAUGGAAGUCCAGUCUUGCUGUGGAAAGGCUCAGAAAAACAAGACCCUUAGCAUAUCUCAGGGAACUGAAAGGCUGUGGGGAAACCAACAGCUUGCUGCAACCACAGCCACAAGUCAGUGUUCCAGCCAUAUACCCUCGGUUCUUUCCAAGACAUCGCUGAAUCAAAAUCCAAAGCAGGUAUUCCCAAGGUGGAAUGACUGUGGCUCUGUGCCAUCUCGAAAUCUACUGGUCUCUAAGCACAAACGAACAUUCUCUUAAACUAAUGAAAUGAGUGGCAGGCAGCGUGUGCAGAGCACCAGCAAAGGCUCAGAGGGAUGCCCACAGAGUUCCACCGCAACCGUGCACAGAGGAGGAGGAGAAUGCUCCCUACAGGAUGAGAAGAGCCACCAGUGGGGCGCAUUCACAGAGAAACGGUCACAUGAUGAGGCAGCAAGAAGGCAAAAAUUGCGAGCCAACAAGAGAGGCCUCAGAAGAAUCCAACCCUGGUGCCGCCUUCAUUUUAAACUUCCAACAACCCCAGAACUGUGGAAAAAAAUUCUAUUUUUUGUCUGUGGUAUUUUGUUAUGGCAACCCUAGCAAACUAAUACACUGAGCAAACUAAUACAUUAAACAGAAUAUUAAAACGAACAAAACAUACUGUUAUUUUUAGUAUGUGCUAUAGUCUGUAUCUAUUUAUUAUCAUUAAGCUUUUAAAAAUUCUAUGCACACAACAAUUUUGUAGUUAUAGUGUUUUGGGGAAUAAAAGGGAAAAGAUGUUUGAG
RNAcentral lists this long non-coding RNA (909 nucleotides) under Homo sapiens (human). RNAcentral describes it as "HSALNT0059142". The record is from RNAcentral. Lineage: Eukaryota; Metazoa; Chordata; Mammalia; Primates; Hominidae.